AUUGAACGCUGGCGGCAGGCCUAACACAUGCAAGUCGAGCGGUAACACAGGGAGCUUGCUCCUGGGUGACGAGCGGCGGACGGGUGAGUAAUGUCUGGGAAACUGCCUGAUGGAGGGGGAUAACUACUGGAAACGGUAGCUAAUACCGCAUAACGUCGCAAGAUCAAAGAGGGGGACCUUCGGGCCUCUUGCCAUCAGAUGUGCCCAGAUGGGAUUAGCUAGUAGGUGGGGUAACGGCUCACCUAGGCGACGAUCCCUAGCUGGUCUGAGAGGAUGACCAGCCACACUGGAACUGAGACACGGUCCAGACUCCUACGGGAGGCAGCGGUGGGGAAUAUUGCACAAUGGGCGCAAGCCUGAUGCAGCCAUGCCGCGUGUAUGAAGAAGGCCUUCGGGUUGUAAAGUACUUUCAGCGGGGAGGAAGGCGUUGUGGUUAAUAACCACAGCGAUUGACGUUACCCGCAGAAGAAGCACCGGCUAACUCCGUGCCAGCAGCCGCAGUAA
Molecule: ribosomal RNA, 504 nt
Filed under: uncultured bacterium
Lineage: Bacteria
Description: partial 16S ribosomal RNA
Rfam family: Bacterial small subunit ribosomal RNA
Source: RNAcentral